RNAcentral lists this ribosomal RNA (235 nucleotides) under Elusimicrobiota bacterium. RNAcentral describes it as "Elusimicrobia bacterium (groundwater metagenome) partial 23S ribosomal RNA". It matches the Rfam family "Bacterial large subunit ribosomal RNA", at positions 2698 to 2925 of the family's 2925-position model. The record is from RNAcentral. Lineage: Bacteria; Pseudomonadati; Elusimicrobiota.
UGGACGAACCUCCUGUAUGCCAGUUAUCCCGCCAGGGGUAUUGCUGGGUAGCGGAGUUCGGAAGGGAUAAACGCUGAAAGCAUCUAAGCGUGAAACCCGCCCCAAGAUAAGGUUUCCCCGUCCCGAAAGGGGCCUAAAGGACCCCGGAAGACUACCGGGUUGAUAGGCCACGGGUGUAAGAGCCGUAAGGCUUUCAGCCAAGUGGUACUAAUUGUCCGUGAGGCUUGGCCGUAUU